Rhinichthys klamathensis goyatoka is the source of this 317-nucleotide long non-coding RNA. RefSeq lists it as uncharacterized. Lineage: Eukaryota; Metazoa; Chordata; Actinopteri; Cypriniformes; Leuciscidae. The record is from RefSeq and is a predicted model, not a curated record. The transcript is spliced from 3 exons.
UAUACAAAUAGUGAUUAGUGUAGUCAUGACGCUGAGCAGUGUUGGUGUAUUAUCUGACUCCACAUGUUUCUGCAGAAGAUAUCAUGACACAGGAAAGUCAUCUACAGAUCGUGAUCAUCGUGGUGUGUGCUGUCACUGGCACUGUGCUGAUUCUGCUGCUGGGACUUCUAGUUUUUAAACGUCAGCGAAAAACAGGAGACGACAGCAGGUUUAAAACCAAUAAUGCAAGUUCAGAGGAUAUGUUGGACUUUACUACAGUCAUCUAUUCAGCUAGUACAGCACAAUGAGCCUUCACACUGGAAAUUAAUGUACAGAAA